RNAcentral lists this long non-coding RNA (219 nucleotides) under Homo sapiens (human). RNAcentral describes it as "non-protein coding lnc-NAAA-2:1". Lineage: Eukaryota; Metazoa; Chordata; Mammalia; Primates; Hominidae. The record is from RNAcentral.
CCGACAGUUACACGGGGCCACGCCUCUCCUUCCCACUCCUGCCUGACCAUGCAACUGCCCUGGUAGAAGCAUUCAGACUGAAACAAAGUCUCGCUCUGUCAUCCAGGCUGGAGUACAGUGGCGCGAUCUCGGCUCACUGCAACAUCCGCUUCCUGGGUUCAAGCGACUCUCCUGCCUCACCCUCCUGAUAGCAGCUCCAUGCUCGCUACGUCUUGAACC